UGAUGGCUGUUUCUCUCAAUGCUUGGAGCCUUAAGUAGUGGGAUUUUAGUCCAUCAUAUAUCUAAGCUGACUUGUAUUCAUUCACUCAGGGCACCAUGGGGAUGGGUUGGUUGUCCGUUAGUGCCUUCUGAUUUUUGUGAGGUCAAACAAUU
RNAcentral lists this small nucleolar RNA (152 nucleotides) under Phocoena sinus (vaquita). Its description in RNAcentral is "Small nucleolar RNA SNORA79 (ENSPSNG00000022245.1)". It matches the Rfam family "Small nucleolar RNA SNORA79". Rfam says of the family: ACA65 (SNORA79) is a member of the H/ACA class of snoRNAs that guide the sites of modification of uridines to pseudouridines. RNAcentral also lists the same sequence under 1 other name. Lineage: Eukaryota; Metazoa; Chordata; Mammalia; Artiodactyla; Phocoenidae. The record is from Rfam by way of RNAcentral.